Molecule: ribosomal RNA, 495 nt
Filed under: uncultured bacterium
Lineage: Bacteria
Description: partial 16S ribosomal RNA
Rfam family: Bacterial small subunit ribosomal RNA
Source: RNAcentral
GACGAACGCUGGCGGCGUGCCUAAUACAUGCCAGUAGAACGCUGAAGGAGGAGCUUGCUUCUCUGGAUGAGUUGCGAACGGGUGAGUAACGCGUAGGUAACCUGCCUGGUAGCGGGGGAUAACUAUUGGAAACGAUAGCUAAUACCGCAUAAUAGCAGUUAUUGCAUGAUAACUGUUUGAAAGGUGCAAUUGCACCACUACCAGAUGGACCUGCGUUGUAUUAGCUAGUUGGUGGGGUAACGGCUCACCAAGGCGACGAUACAUAGCCGACCUGGGAGGGUGAUCGGCCACACUGGGACUGAGACACGGCCCAGACUCCUACGGGAGGCAGCAGUAGGGAAUCUUCGGCAAUGGACGGAAGUCUGACCGAGCAACGCCGCGUGAGUGAAGAAGGUUUUCGGAUCGUAAAGCUCUGUUGUAAGAGAAGAACGAGUGUGAGAGUGGAAAGUUCACACUGUGACGGUAUCUUACCAGAAAGGGACGGCUAACUACGUG